AUGCCCGCCUCCGCCUCGCUCCUCCACCUCUACGACUGCUGGUCCGCCUACAAGUACGUCAACUUCUCCCGGACCAUCUACGAUGCCAUGGCGUACCUCAACGACACCAUCACCGUCAACAGCAACUACAUCUCCAUGCUCGCCGCGCUGAAGCGGUACGGCGACGACACGUCCGUCUGGGCGCCGCCGCAGACGGAGCGCGACGGGUACUGGCCUUCGCCCGCGGCGUCGGGGGCCGACGUGGACGCGCUCGGCGUGCCCAAGGGGCUCCCCGCGGACGCGACGGUGUGCGGCGCCGGGUGCGACUACAGGACAGUGCGGGAGGCGGUGGCGGCCGCGCCGGACAACGGGGGCAAGAGGUUCGUGGUGUACGUGAAGGCAGGCGUGUACAAGGAGACGGUGAGCGUGCCGUGGGAGAAGACCAACCUGGUGCUGGUCGGCGACGGCAUGGGGAAGACGGUCAUCACCGGCGACCUCAACGCGGACACGCCCGGCGUGUCCACGUUCAACACGGCCACCGUAGGCGUGCUCGCGGACGGCUUCAUGGCGCGCGACCUGACGAUCGCGAACACGGCGGGGCCGGACGCGCACCAGGCGGUGGCGUUCCGGUCCACGGGCGACCGCACGGUGCUGGACACGGUGGAGCUGCUGGGGCACCAGGACACGCUGUACGUGCACGCCAUGCGCCAGUUCUACACCCGCUGCCGCGUGGCCGGCACGGUGGACUUCGUCUUCGGCAACUCGGCCGCCGUGCUCCACGACAGCGACCUCGUCGUGCUGCCCCGGCAGCUGCGGCCGGAGAAGGGCGAGACGGACGCGCUGACGGCGCAGGGCCGCACCGACCCGGCGCAGCCCACGGGGAUCGUGCUCCGGGGCUGCCGCGUCAACGGCAGCGACGAGUACAUGGCCUUCUACCGGCAGAAGCCCGGCGUGCACCACGUGUUCCUCGGCCGGCCAUGGAAGGAGUACUCCCGCACGGUGUUCGUCGGGUGCACGAUGGCUGAGAUCGUGCGGCCCGAGGGGUGGAUGCCAUGGAGCGGCGACUUCGCGCUCAAGACGCUCUACUACGGGGAGUAUGAUAGCGCCGGCCCUGGCGCCGGCGGGCGGGGAGGCGGCAGGGUGGCGUGGAGCAGCCAGGUGCCCAAGGAGCGCGUCGACGUCUACAGCGUCGCCAGCUUCAUACAGGGGGACGAGUGGAUACCCAAAGUGAAGUAG
This 1215-nucleotide ribosomal RNA is filed under the name Triticum aestivum (bread wheat). Its description in RNAcentral is "partial small subunit ribosomal RNA". The record is from RNAcentral. Lineage: Eukaryota; Viridiplantae; Streptophyta; Magnoliopsida; Poales; Poaceae.